UGGAUGAGUGGCGAACGGGUGAGUAAUACGUGAGUAACCUGCCCUUGACUCUGGGAUAAGCCUGGGAAACCGGGUCUAAUACUGGAUACGACGUCCUGCCGCAUGGUGGGGCGUGGAAAGGGUUUUACUGGUUUUGGAUGGGCUCACGGCCUAUCAGCUUGUUGGUGGGGUAAUGGCCUACCAAGGCGACGACGGGUAGCCGGCCUGAGAGGGUGACCGGCCACACUGGGACUGAGACACGGCCCAGACUCCUACGGGAGGCAGCAGUGGGGAAUAUUGCACAAUGGGCGCAAGCCUGAUGCAGCGACGCCGCGUGAGGGAUGACGGCCUUCGGGUUGUAAACCUCUUUCAGCAGGGAAGAAGCCACAAGUGACGGUACCUGCAGAAGAAGCGCCGGCUAACUACGUGCCAGCAGCCGCGGUAAUACGUAGGGCGCAAGCGUUGUCCGGAAUUAUUGGGCGUAAAGAGCUCGUAGGCGGUUUGUCGCGUCUGCUGUGAAAGCCCGGGGCUCAACCCCGGGUCUGCAGUGGGUACGGGCAGACUAGAGUGCAGUAGGGGAGACUGGAAUUCGUGGUGUAGCGGUGAAAUGCGCAGAUAUCAGGAGGAACACCGAUCGCGAAAGCAGGUCUCUGGGCUGUUACUGACGCU
Molecule: ribosomal RNA, 648 nt
Filed under: Kocuria flava
Lineage: Bacteria; Bacillati; Actinomycetota; Actinomycetes; Micrococcales; Micrococcaceae
Description: bacterial SSU rRNA
Rfam family: Bacterial small subunit ribosomal RNA
Source: RNAcentral